ACGCACGCUGGCGGCGUGCUUAACCCCUUCCAGUCGCACGGAAAGGCCCUGCUUUUGUGGGGUGCUCGAGUGGCGAACGGGUGAGUAACACGUGAGUAACCUGCCCUUGACUUUGGGAUAACUUCAGGAAACUGGGGCUAAUACCGGAUAGGAGCUCCUGCUGCAUGGUGGGGGUUGGAAAGUUUCGGCGGUUGGGGAUGGACUCGCGGCUUAUCAGCUUGUUGGUGGGGUAGUGGCUUACCAAGGCUUUGACGGGUAGCCGGCCUGAGAGGGUGACCGGCCACAUUGGGACUGAGAUACGGCCCAGACUCCUACGGGAGGCAGCAGUGGGGAAUAUUGCACAAUGGGCGGAAGCCUGAUGCAGCAACGCCGCGUGCGGGAUGAAGGCCUUCGGGUUGUAAACCGCUUUCGCCUGUGACGAAGCGUGAGUGACGGUAAUGGGUAAAGAAGCACCGGCUAACUACGUG
This 467-nucleotide ribosomal RNA is filed under the name uncultured bacterium. RNAcentral describes it as "partial 16S ribosomal RNA". It matches the Rfam family "Bacterial small subunit ribosomal RNA", at positions 29 to 507 of the family's 1533-position model. The record is from RNAcentral.